AGCAGCCGCGGUAAUUCCAGCUCCAAUAGCGUAUAUUAAAGUUGUUGCAGUUAAAAAGCUCGUAGUUGAAUUUCGGGGUUAGUAGGUUGGUCAUGCCUCUGGUAUGUACUGGUCUCACUGAUUCCUCCUUCCUGAUGAACCUUAAUGCCAUUUAUUUGGUGUUUUGGGGAAUUUGGACUGUUACUUUGAAAAAUUAGAGUGUUUAAAGCAAGCUAACGCUUGAAUACAUUAGCAUGGAAUAAUGAAAUAGGACGUUCGAUCCUAUUUUGUUGGUUUCUAGGAUCGACGUAAUGAUUAAUAGGGAUAGUUGGGGGCAUUAGUAUUCAAUUGUCAGAGGUGAAAUUCUUGGAUUUAUUGAAGACUAACUACUGCGAAAGCAUUUGCCAAGGAUGUUUUCAUUAAUCAAGAACGAAAGUUAGGGGAUCGAAGACGAUCAG
RNAcentral lists this ribosomal RNA (437 nucleotides) under uncultured Glomus. RNAcentral's name for it is "SSU rRNA". It matches the Rfam family "Eukaryotic small subunit ribosomal RNA", at positions 569 to 1011 of the family's 1831-position model. Lineage: Eukaryota; Fungi; Glomeromycota; Glomeromycetes; Glomerales; Glomeraceae. The record is from RNAcentral.